UGUCAAGGUAAAGCAGUGUCCUGUGACGC
This 29-nucleotide non-coding RNA is filed under the name Mus musculus (house mouse). The record is from RNAcentral. Lineage: Eukaryota; Metazoa; Chordata; Mammalia; Rodentia; Muridae.